Molecule: ribosomal RNA, 377 nt
Filed under: uncultured cyanobacterium
Lineage: Bacteria; Bacillati; Cyanobacteriota
Description: bacterial SSU rRNA
Rfam family: Bacterial small subunit ribosomal RNA
Source: RNAcentral
GAACCCUGACGGAGCAACGCCGCGUGCGGGAGGACGGCCUGUGGGUUGUAAACCGCUUUUCUCAGGGAAGAAGUUCUGACGGUACCAGAGGAAUCAGCAUCGGCUAACUCCGUGCCAGCAGCCGCGGUAAUACGGAGGAUGCAAGCGUUAUCCGGAAUUAUUGGGCGUAAAGCGUCCGUAGGCGGUGAGUUAAGUCUGCUGUCAAAGCCUGCAGCUCAACUGUGGAGUGGCAGUGGAAACUGAUUGACUAGAGUGCGAUAGGGGUAGAGGGAAUUCCCAGUGUAGCGGUGAAAUGCGUAGAUAUUGGGAAGAACACCAGUGGCGAAGGCGCUCUACUGGGUCGCAACUGACGCUGAGGGACGAAAGCUAGGGGAGCG